GCUGCGCAGGCGCACUGGAGCUGUUGCGUCGCGACGGCGCAGACAGUGACAUCAUCAGAUGGUGCAGGCAAGGGCCACGUGGAAGACCGACAAAGAAAGACUGAACAAGUAUAUUUGCUGUGUGCACAAAAAAGAUUUCUAGGUGGCUUUGCGUUCUUUUCUUUCGAGAUGGUGCUGACGCAAGCGUGUUACGCUGCGGUGGACUUUUCAGCGAGCCGAUGCCCUCCAGGCUUCCUCCGAGGAACUCAUCCCGAGCGACAUGGAGAAGGUCUGGAUCACCAAUGGCAGACUGACUUGGAGUGCUGUUUGCAAAGACUGAGGAAUUGGAUUCUGACAACUCAGUCAAAGGCAGACACAGAAAUGUACAACUUGGGUAGAGUCACUAAUGGAAGCCUAAAGAUAGGCCUUUAAGGCUUCAGCUGUAAGUUUGUGUGUGUGUGUGGGGGGGGUUCAGACAGGCUGAACGAACCUGUGUUGCUUCUUCCAAAUUUCAAGAUAGAAUGAUAUUUAAUUGUUUUGGGUUUCAUUAAACAUUUUAGUAAAAGCAUAUUGAGGAUACAGCAGACACCAUGGUAAUAAAGGGGAGUGCUUUGAAAAUGCUAUUCCACAGACAGAAAGUAUAGCUCUCAGUGUGUUGAGCUGUGGUGAAUUCAGGGGCAGUGCACUUGAUGAAGAUUUCAGCCUUGUUGGUGAGGGCAGCAGCAGCCACCAGAAAGGGCAGCACAGCAGAUGUCCUAGUUAACUGCUGUGACAGGCCACCCUGGGAUUCCUGCCUGAAAUCUUCCUCUUACUCCCUCUUCUGCACACCUACACCUCCGUUUGUCCCUGGUUUGUUCAGUUCAGUUGAGCACAGGGUCCUCAGUGUUGCCACCUUCUGCCUUUGGCACGUCCAUGGCCACUGCUGUGUGCUCAUUGUAUUUAGGGACCCUGCUCUCAGGAGAGUAUGCAUUUCCAUGUCAGUUGCUUGGGAUCAUAGCUCCCUCUACUGUAGGAAAUGCUGUUCUCUCUAGCUUGAUCCCUAUCUAAUCAUUUCUGUUGUGUUGCCUUGAAAAAGCCUGACAGCCCUUAAUAAAAAUAUUCUCUGCCUCUUCCA
Molecule: long non-coding RNA, 1093 nt
Organism: Cavia porcellus (domestic guinea pig)
Lineage: Eukaryota; Metazoa; Chordata; Mammalia; Rodentia; Caviidae
Exons: 2
Source: RefSeq, a predicted model, not a curated record